Molecule: long non-coding RNA, 1313 nt
Filed under: Anas platyrhynchos platyrhynchos (common mallard)
Lineage: Eukaryota; Metazoa; Chordata; Aves; Anseriformes; Anatidae
Description: lncRNA (ENSAPLG00000028981.1)
Source: RNAcentral
GAAAAAUAAAGGAUCAAAAUGCGCUUGGUGUGUGACAUGUGCUAUGUCAUGGUACUUAACUGUGAAAUUAAUCUAUAACCUAAUCUUUCUCUCUUUAAAUUCAGAUGUUUAGCAAGAGAAGAGGAGAAACAGAUCAGGUUCAAUUAAUUACUGUCAUUCUAUGCAUCUUCCAUAAACCAUAAAGAGCGGUCAUUGUGCAGCUCACUGAGUAGUAGAGUAAAACCACAUUCUUCAGAAAUACCACUAGGUAGGUUGCCUUUAAAGCUUUAUGCGUAUUACUGAAAGAUCAGUGAAAUUGAAAACUGUCCUUAGAUGUUAUUACAGCACUUUAUAGAACAGGUUUUUGGGUGGAAGCAGCUCCUCAUUUGCUUUGGCAAAUGAUUAUGAUGGGUGAAAAUAACUGACAUCACCUGGAAUACAACAGGGAAGUACAAGAAGAGAAUUUUAUAUUUUUGUUUUGCUUUGCUUUGUUUUCCAACAUAGUGAUGACCACUGAAUGAUGAUUUUUUUUAUAGUGAAUACAUCCAUGUUUUGAGAUAGUUGUGGAAAAAGUCAAAUAGCUAAUAGCUAAUAAUAGCUAAUAAAAAUAGAAGGGGUUUUUAAAAUCCACAUCACACAUCUUAACUUGCUCCCUAGACAAUUAAUUCUUUUCCUUUUGAUUGCUUGCAUCUGCAUCAGUGGCUAAAUUUUUAUCUUCAGAGUCCUCCCAGGAGUACUACCACCCAUGAAAUCACGAAUGUAUUGCUUGAAGAAUGUACUGUGGAUUGUAUUGGGAGAGUACCUGAAGAUCUCCUGGAAAAAACAGACCUUGACUGGCAUCUCACUGAAAGUGGAUCCUAAAGACAACACAUGGUAUGCCACUGCCAAAGUACAAAUCAGGGAUGAUGGCCUGGAAGACAUCAGUUUAGAUGGGCAAAGUUUUGUGUUGACUUGUAAACAUUUGAAUGACAGUUGCAUCUUAAUUACAUACAGUAACCAAAAUGGACUGUCUGUCCAGAACCUGCAGCUGAGCGAUGCUGUAUGGAUCCUCAUACAGACGUUUUCUGCCACUUCCUAGAAGGCAGUUGAUGUGGGAUCCACUGGUGUCAGUGAGAACAGCAAGAGUAAGGAGAAGGCAGAAACUUACCUGACCAAGAAAGAGUGAGCCUACCUGGUUUCCAUCUGGGAAACAUGCCCUGCUGCAACAUUCAAUACAAAGAACAUGCUCUUCAUUGUCACCUAAAGAAGACACAAAGACUAAGCUUGAUGAUGUGUUUCUCACUUCUUUGUGAAAAAAAAAAUAAAUCAGAGUUUUACACUGAAAAUAUGUUUCA